GCACGGUUGAGGAGUCCCAAAAAUAGGACGAAACGGUCGUCCAGUGC
This 47-nucleotide non-coding RNA is filed under the name Schistosoma margrebowiei. The record is from RNAcentral. Lineage: Eukaryota; Metazoa; Platyhelminthes; Trematoda; Strigeidida; Schistosomatidae.